CGAAACAAGAACUGAUACAUUUCAAUAAAUCACUCCAGCCAGGUGGUCACCAUGCUAGUGUACUGAGAAGCUGGGGUCACAAGGCAACCCUGUCCAUCAUUCAUCUUUAGAAACAAUGCCAACCUUGGAGUCCAUCCCAGCCUUCGUGCCAUAAUCGGAGGGAUGACCUACUUAACCAUGGAAAUAUUGGCUUCAUUCGAGUUAACAUUGCUGGUAAUAUGCAUUUUAGAGCAAGGCCAAGCCAGAUGGAAAUGGCAUGCUGGAGGUGUGUAUGCCUGUACCUACCUGCUCUGCUGUUGUUCUACCCUAGAUCCCAACUCAGCAUCUAGGCCUUCUUACUUUCCUAAGGUAUCUGAUAGACAUAUUCAAGCGGAAUUUAAGCUUUCUUAGGAUCAGCAAA
This 400-nucleotide long non-coding RNA is filed under the name Rhinopithecus bieti (black snub-nosed monkey). Its description in RNAcentral is "lncRNA (ENSRBIG00000045552.1)". The record is from RNAcentral. Lineage: Eukaryota; Metazoa; Chordata; Mammalia; Primates; Cercopithecidae.